GAACAACGAUACUGCCUCGGGGAGCUGUAAGCAAGCUUCGAUCCGGGGAUGUCCGAAUGGGGAAACCCAGCUGAUGUAAUAGUCAGUUACCCGUAUCUGAAUACAUAGGAUACGAGGAGGCAUACCCAGGGAACUGAAACAUCUAAGUACCUGGAGGAAGAGAAAACAAGAGUGAUUCCGUCAGUAGCGGCGAGCGAACGCGGAACAGCCUAAACCAGAGAGC
RNAcentral lists this ribosomal RNA (223 nucleotides) under Paenibacillus lautus. RNAcentral describes it as "partial 23S ribosomal RNA". It matches the Rfam family "Bacterial large subunit ribosomal RNA", at positions 63 to 282 of the family's 2925-position model. The record is from RNAcentral. Lineage: Bacteria; Bacillati; Bacillota; Bacilli; Caryophanales; Paenibacillaceae.